ACCCAAAUAGACCCGGAGAAGCCGUCGGGAGGUCUGGGAAGAGUUUUCUUUUCUGUUUGAGCGYUCGGGUUCCCUGGAAUUGCCUCGCGCAGAGAGAGGGAAUGGAGCGCGUAGAGCACCGCAGUUGCGGCGGUGUCCAGACACGCCCCUCGGACCUUGAAAAUCCGGGGACGGGCCACGUGGAGGUUCGCGCCGGUCCGUACCCAUAUCCGCAGCAGGUCUCCGAGGUGAAGAGCCUCUAGCCGAU
Molecule: ribosomal RNA, 247 nt
Filed under: Matuanus caledonicus
Lineage: Eukaryota; Metazoa; Arthropoda; Insecta; Orthoptera; Gryllidae
Description: partial 28S ribosomal RNA
Rfam family: Eukaryotic large subunit ribosomal RNA
Source: RNAcentral